Oreochromis aureus is the source of this 2485-nucleotide long non-coding RNA. The record is from Ensembl. NCBI's taxonomy places the organism in Eukaryota, Metazoa, Chordata, Actinopteri, Cichliformes, Cichlidae.
GAAAGGCUUCAUCAAUGUGAAACCUAGAGUAUUUAGAGCACGAAUUAAGUUCAGCUUUUAUAUUAGAUUUGUUUCUGGAUUGUUUUAGCCUCGAUGUAGUUUGUAUUUUGCUGUUGUAACUCCCAAAAAUGUGACUUCUACUUGCACAUUCCGUGUACGCCCAAAUUUUGAAAGGCCCAAAUCGGAGGUAACAUAGUGGCUUCUUAACUGUCCAUAAGCUGUUGGGUUGAUGCUCUCAAUACGUCGGAGUUUGUCUUUUUUCUUUUCUUUUUGGUAAUCGUUGCUGUUUUUGUUUCUUAUCUCCCACCUGAGGCACGGACGCCACGAUGUUUCAGCUCAGGUUGUUUGUUCACCAGCGCCUGUACGCUGCAGCUGAAGAGAUCCUCGGGCAGAUGGAGAAAACCAUCACGUUAGUUUUGCACGAGGCAGACGUUCGAGCUAAAGAGGAGGCGGAAAGUCUGCGACACCAGCUGAAAUCAGCUGAAGAACUUCCAAUGACCAACAGUGCCGUCCAACAUGGAGAUGAAUGUGACUCCCCGCUGCUGCAGGAGUGCGAGGGACCCACAAACACAGAAGAGUCUGACUUCACACCGAGCCCUGAGAAUCCAGGAACCCCAGAGCCCACUGCAGAUCUAAGCAGUUACAGUGGGAAGUACUGCCUGGUGGAGAGUCCUGAGGUGAAGAUGGAGCAGGAGGAGCAUAGGAAUGAGAGUUUUUUCUCUCCUCCAGGAACUGUGAAAAGUGAGGAAGAACAGUCGGACACGCAAAUAUAUGAAACGCAGAUGCUUUCUUCAUACUUGUCUGCAGCUGUUAGUGAGGAGACGGAGAGAGGAGAACAGGCCAUAACGGUGAAACAGAAAGCAAAGAUGAUGCAAGGAAAACGCAUCAGUGACGGCAAGAAAGCCCAAGCAGCUUUGUCUUAUAAGAACUGCUCGGUUAAAAGGAAAAAAGGUCGCAAGUUUUGCCAUUUGUGCGGGAAGCGUUUUCACUACACCGCCUCUUUAAUGAAGCACAUAAAAACCCACGAGAAUUGUACCAGUUGCGUUAUUUGUGGGACGAAAUACGGGUGUCCCAAAGAACUUGUUUUUCAUUUGAAAAAGAAACACAGAGAUGCAUAUUUUUGUGAUGUUUGCGGUAAAACUUUUUUCAAAGUCCGCAGCCUCCAGACUCACGAAAGAAAACACACACUGACGAAAGAGUUUGUGUGUCAGGAAUGUGGCAAAACUUACCGGUAUAAACACUGUUUGAUUACGCACAUGAGUAGCCAUUCUGGGGAGUAACCAUACCCUUGCGAUAUUUGUGGUAUGCGCUUUAGUCAAAAUUCAAACAUGAACAGACACAAGACCACCCAUAUGGGAGAGAAGCCUUAGCCCUGCUAUAUGUGUUGUUUGCACCUAAUCUCAAGUCACAUUUGCAAACACGUGAAACAAGCAGGGUGAUGAGUGAUCCCUUUUUUUCCCAUCUAGUUGAAACUGGAUAGCUUUUAAUAUCGUCCACUUAACACGACUGUGCCUGAUGUGGUGUCAGAUAACUGCAAUUCGUAAUGUUUGGUUUGCUUUAAAGACCAUUGCAUCAUUUCUACAGCUAUAUGCUGCUGUUGGUUAACAUGAUUUUGCUGUUUUCUUUUGGGUUUUUUAAAAUAAGCCUAGGGGGCUUUUAUGAGUGUAGAGCAACACAUCUGCAGCUCUUGUUGCCCUCUGUGAUGUUGCGGUGUUGUGAGACUAAUUUCCACGGUUGACACUAAGGUUUAACAUCCUACUGUAUAACAUUACAGUGGUCUGCUUGUCUCUGGCUGCAGCCAUGGCGUGCAUACAUUUAUAUGGUAAAUGGUUUUAAAUGUAAUAUUGGUAUGUGUAUUGUCUCAGAUCUGUGGCUAAUGUAGAUACUGUAUGUGGGUUUUUUUCAACAUGUUAUUACUUGAUAAAACUUUGCAUUUUGAUGGAUUAGAGUCUGGGAGUCUUUUGAAUGAAGGGAAAGAAGCUUUUGAUAUAUAUAUUUUUUUAACGAUGUCUUUAUGAUGCCACAAAAUUAGGAAGUUCAGUACAUUUCAUAGGGGCUUAUUUGUUUCUUUGUGUUUCAAUUUUCAACAGUUUUCCUGUUAUUUUGAAUUCCAGUAAAAUUUCCGAGAAAAUGCCUAAAUCAGGAUAAAGAAACUUCAUUUGUUUUUUUGUAUUUAUCAACUACAAUACUUCUUUGACUCAAAGUCAUGAUGUAAUCACAAUAUUUGGUGAGAUUUCGUAAUGAAAAGGCCUUUGUAAAUAUAUUUUUUUUAAAGUGUUAUGAAGAAGACAACAAUCAGAGACUCAGAAAGCCAACACACAUGCAGUAAAUUAAUUAAACUCCUGCCAUUGUGGCAAAAUACCAUUGAAAGUCAUUCCGAUUAUUGCUGUUUCUUUUUUGGUGUGUUGGGAACUAGAUCACCACCCUCCAAAUGAGAUUGUGCAUGUGGUCUAUCCUCAUAAUAAAUAACUUUUCUUUACAUUUU